Molecule: ribosomal RNA, 465 nt
Filed under: Vreelandella stevensii
Lineage: Bacteria; Pseudomonadati; Pseudomonadota; Gammaproteobacteria; Oceanospirillales; Halomonadaceae
Description: partial 16S ribosomal RNA
Rfam family: Bacterial small subunit ribosomal RNA
Source: RNAcentral
CCUACGGGAGGCAGCAGUGGGGAAUAUUGGACAAUGGGGGUAACCCUGAUCCAGCCAUGCCGCGUGUGUGAAGAAGGCCCUCGGGUUGUAAAGCACUUUCAGUGAGGAAGAACGCCUGGUGGUUAAUACCCAUCAGGAAAGACAUCACUCACAGAAGAAGCACCGGCUAACUCCGUGCCAGCAGCCGCGGUAAUACGGAGGGUGCGAGCGUUAAUCGGAAUUACUGGGCGUAAAGCGCGCGUAGGUGGCUUGAUAAGCCGGUUGUGAAAGCCCCGGGCUCAACCUGGGAACGGCAUCCGGAACUGUCAAGCUAGAGUGCAGGAGAGGAAGGUAGAAUUCCCGGUGUAGCGGUGAAAUGCGUAGAGAUCGGGAGGAAUACCAGUGGCGAAGGCGGCCUUCUGGACUGACACUGACACUGAGGUGCGAAAGCGUGGGUAGCAAACAGGAUUAGAUACCCUGGUAGUC